GCAACACACUCUGCCCCACCACCAACACCAUGCGCACCACCUUGGAGGGGCGCACAGCUGCUGUGGGCCCUCCACCACAACUGCAGGAGCUGCUGAGCAUGCGAGGUGUGUGUGUGUGCGUGUGUGUGUGUGUGUGUGUGUGUGUGUGUGUGUGUGUGUGUGUGUGUGUGUGUGUGUGUGUGUGUGUGUGUGUGUGCGCGUGUG
This 204-nucleotide long non-coding RNA is filed under the name Dunaliella salina. RNAcentral's name for it is "long non-coding RNA (DSAL_LNC000038)". The record is from RNAcentral. Lineage: Eukaryota; Viridiplantae; Chlorophyta; Chlorophyceae; Chlamydomonadales; Dunaliellaceae.